UGCCGCACGGACAAGGCUGCCCUGGCAACGGACUGUAAAUCCGUCGGCGUACGCCUACCAAGGUUCGAAUCCUUGACCCGCCA
RNAcentral lists this transfer RNA (83 nucleotides) under Actinomycetota bacterium. RNAcentral's name for it is "tRNA-Tyr". The record is from RNAcentral. Lineage: Bacteria; Bacillati; Actinomycetota.